GGGGGGGGAUAAGGGUUUAAGGGCCCCCAGAGGUGGGGGAGCCAACUCAACUUAAGUUACCUUAUUCAAUAGAUUGCUCUCAUGGAACUACCAGGCACCUGGUGGGAAUUGAAGUAUUGGGUAAAACUGAUGAGUGUAGGUGGAGACACUAAAGGGAAGGGGUUGGAUAUCUACUACUUUCUCUUUCAAUCUGUCUACAUUUAUAAUUGUAAUUGUGUUGUACUGUAUGAGAGAGAGAGAGAGAGGGAAUGGGAUGCAAGCAUGCACUCACACUGCCUCUUUUCUCUUGUUGAGGGAGGUUGUUGUUGUUGUUGUUGUUGCUGGUUGUAAUUUUCAUUUACUGUUGGUGGGGUGGAGUAGCCUUACAAGUGGGCUCAUGAUGGGCUCAUCAUUCAUCCAUCA
Molecule: long non-coding RNA, 402 nt
Filed under: Physcomitrium patens
Lineage: Eukaryota; Viridiplantae; Streptophyta; Bryopsida; Funariales; Funariaceae
Description: long non-coding RNA (PPAT_LNC010660)
Source: RNAcentral